CCUACGGGUGGCUGCAGUGAGGAAUAUUGGUCAAUGGCCGUAAGGCUGAACCAGCCAAGUCGCGUGAAGGAAGAAGGAUCUAUGUUUUGUAAGCUUCUUUUAUAGGGGAAUAAAGGUAUCCACGUGUGGGUAUUUGCAUGUACCCUAUGAAUAAGCAUCGGCUAACUCCGUGCGAGCAGCCCAGGUAAUACGUAGGAUGCGAGCGUGAUCCGGAUUUAUUGGGUUUAAAGGGUGCGUAGGUUGUUGUUUAAGUGAGCGGUGAAAGUUUGUGGCUCAACCAUAAAAUUGCAGUUGAAACUGGAAGACUUGAGUGUGUUUGAGGUAGGCGGAAUGCGUGGUGUAGCGGUGAAAUGCAUAGAUAUCACGCAGAACUCCGAUUGCGAAGGCAGCUUACUAAGCCAUAACUGACACUGAAGCACGAAAGCGUGGGGAUCAAACAGGAUUAGAUACCCUUGUAGUC
RNAcentral lists this ribosomal RNA (460 nucleotides) under uncultured bacterium. Its description in RNAcentral is "partial 16S ribosomal RNA". It matches the Rfam family "Bacterial small subunit ribosomal RNA", at positions 338 to 795 of the family's 1533-position model. The record is from RNAcentral.